CAGGGUGCUGGCCUGGCUCACAGGCAUGCCUCCUUCCGGGACCUCCUCCACCCCCUACAGUUUGGCGCUCAGUAAUCUCUUGUUUUCUUGUCUCCCUCAGGACACUGGGUCCCCUUGGAGCCUCCCCAGGCUUAAUGAUUGUCCAGAAGGCGGCUAUAAAGGGAGCCUGGGAGGCUGGGUGGAGGAGGGAGCAGAAAAAACCCAACUCAGCAGAUCUGGGAACUGUGAGAGCGGCAAGCAGGAACUGUGGUCAGAGGCUGUGCGUCUUGGCUGGUAGGGCCUGCUCUUUUCUACCAUGGCAGCCCAGGGCUAUGGCUAUUAUCGCACUGUGAUCUUCUCAGCCAUGUUUGGGGGCUACAGCCUGUAUUACUUCAAUCGCAAGACCUUCUCCUUUGUCAUGCCAUCAUUGGUGGAAGAGAUCCCUUUGGACAAGGAUGAUUUGGGGUUCAUCACCAGCAGCCAGUCGGCAGCUUAUGCUAUCAGCAAGUUUGUCAGUGGGGUGCUGUCUGACCAGAUGAGUGCUCGCUGGCUCUUCUCUUCUGGGCUGCUCCUGGUUGGCCUGGUCAACAUAUUCUUUGCCUGGAGCUCCACAGUACCUGUCUUUGCUGCCCUCUGGUUCCUUAAUGGCCUGGCCCAGGGGCUGGGCUGGCCCCCAUGUGGGAAGGUCCUGCGGAAGGUGAGUGCUUCCAAAGAGCCUGUUUGGAUUGUCAUAGAGGAUGCCUAAAGAGCAUGUGGGAGCGCCCUUUCUUACCCACCACCUCCACACCCAACCCAGAGCAGGUUCCUGAGCAGUUCCUGGCCAGCUCCUAUUGCUUGUCAAGAUAUUUUAGGAGGCUGAGAGUGGUGGGAUCAGGUGGCAGAGGAGGAAACUGCCCUGCCAAACAGAAGCGCCCUCUCCCUCUUCCCUGUAAUGUGAGCUUCUGGGGCUGCCCCAUCUGACCCCACCCUCAACAUGGGCAGUAGGCUGGACACCUACGUGUCGCCCUCUGCCCCACAGUGGUUUGAGCCAUCUCAGUUUGGCACUUGGUGGGCCAUCCUGUCAACCAGCAUGAACCUGG
This 1058-nucleotide long non-coding RNA is filed under the name Homo sapiens (human). Its description in RNAcentral is "non-protein coding lnc-SLC37A4-1:32". Lineage: Eukaryota; Metazoa; Chordata; Mammalia; Primates; Hominidae. The record is from RNAcentral.